AUAGCUGGCACUCCCCGAAAUGCCUUGAGGGACAGCCUCAUACAAACGUUCAGGAGGUAGAGCACUGUUUGGACUAGGGGUCUUCACCGGCUACCAAACCCAGGCAAACUCCGAAUGCCUAGACACAACGUAUGGGAGUGAGACUGUGUGCAACAAAGUUCAUAGUCGAGAGGGGAACAGCCCAGACCGACAGCUAAGGUCCCCAAAUACCGCUAAGUGUGAAAUGAGGUGUUAUUGCAAAGACAGCCAGGAUGUUGGCUUAGAAGCAGCCACUCAUUAAAAGAGUGCGUAAUAGCUCACUGGUCGAGCAAUGAUGCGCAGACAAUGUAACGGGGCUAAGCGGUAUACCGAAGCUUCGGAUUCGUACUUUAAGUAGUACGGAUGGUAGGGGAGCAUUCCAUGGACCGGCGAAGGUAACCUGGAAGGGUUGCUGGAGGGGAUGGAAGAGAGAAUGCAGGUAUAAGUACACGAAAAGACGGGUGAGAUUCCCGUCCGCCGAAAACCUAAGGUUUCCUGGGUAAAGGUCAUCUUCCCAGGGUUAGUCGGCCCCUAAGAUGAGGCGGAAACGCGUAGUCGAUGGGAAGCUGGUUCAUAUUCCAGCACCAUGGAGAGAUUCGACGGGAUGACGCAUGAGGUGAAACCCGGCCAGAGAACGGUUGUUCUGGUCGAAGCAGUGAGCUGUUGAGAGUGGUAGGCAAAUCCGCCACUUGAGGUGAGCUGUGACAGCGAGCGAUGCUACGGCAAAGCGAAGCGGGCGUAAUCACGGUGCCAAGAAAGAGUCCCUAAGGUUCGUCUUUUCAUGACCGUACCGUAAACGGACACACGUAGGUGGGAUGAGAAAUCUAAGGCGCUCGAGAUAACUCGCGUUAAGGAACUCGGCAAAAUGCACACGUAACUUCGGGAGAAGUGUGGCCUUCGCAAGAAGGUUGCAGAGAGCAGGCCCAGGCGACUGUUUACCAAAAACACAGGUCUGUGCAAACGCGCAAGCGGAUGUAUACGGACUGACGCCUGCCCGGUGCUGGAAGGUUAAAGGGAGGAGUUAGCAGCAAUGCGAAGCCCUGAACUGAAGCCCCAGUAAACGGCGGCCGUAACUAUAACGGUCCUAAGGUAGCGAAAUUCCUUGUCGGGUAAGUUCCGACCCGCACGAAUGGUGGAACGAUCUGGGCACUGUCUCAACGCGAGACUCGGUGAAAUUUAAGUACCGGUA
RNAcentral lists this ribosomal RNA (1207 nucleotides) under Anaerolineales bacterium. RNAcentral's name for it is "partial 23S ribosomal RNA". It matches the Rfam family "Bacterial large subunit ribosomal RNA", at positions 845 to 2055 of the family's 2925-position model. The record is from RNAcentral. Lineage: Bacteria; Bacillati; Chloroflexota; Anaerolineae; Anaerolineales.